Molecule: ribosomal RNA, 514 nt
Filed under: uncultured bacterium
Lineage: Bacteria
Description: bacterial SSU rRNA
Rfam family: Bacterial small subunit ribosomal RNA
Source: RNAcentral
GGAACCCCCAAAAGCGAAGGCAUUCCAGCUGGGGCGACCCCUGACGUUGAGAGACGAAAGGCGUGGGCAUAAAAAAGGAUUAGAUACCCCUUGUAUUCCCACGCUGUAAACGAUGGACACUAGCUAUCUUGAAGGUGUCGACCCUUCCAGGUGGCGAAGCUAACGCGUUAAGUGUCCCGCCUGGGAAGUACCGGCGGCAACGCUAAAACUCAAAGGAAUAGACGGGGAUUCCACACAAGCGGUGGACCAUGUGGCUCAAUUCGAUAACAAGCGAGGAACCUUACCAGGGCUUGACAUUCUAAUGAAAACCCGGUGAAAGCCGGGACUACCCACAAGGACAUUAGAACAGGUGCUGCAUGGUUGUCGUCAGCAUGUACCUUGAGGCGCUCCCUUAAAUGGGGCAACAUGCGCAACCCUUAUCCCUGCGUUUUAAGUGUCGUAGGAAACUGCCCGGGAUAACUGGGAGGAAGGUGGGGAUGACGCCAAAUCAGCAUGGCCCUUUGAUGGCCCUGGG